Molecule: non-coding RNA, 331 nt
Organism: Peromyscus maniculatus bairdii (prairie deer mouse)
Lineage: Eukaryota; Metazoa; Chordata; Mammalia; Rodentia; Cricetidae
Source: RefSeq, a predicted model, not a curated record
CUGAAAACCAAGACUGACGCUCAGUGACUAGUGGAUGGGUAGGUGGUGUGGCCAGCAUGGGUGUGCUGGACAGAGAUGACUGACACCCAGUGGUGUAGAGUAAGUCUGUAAGAUUGCGUCACAGAAUGCACCUAGAAACUUCCAAACCGUCUGAUUCUAGAACUCUCCAUUUUACACCACAGUUGAUGGCAGAGAAGACGGGAACAGAUAGCAAAGAUGAUCAUGAAGGAAGGAGGAAGGAGCUAGAAGAAGGCCCAGCAGUUAAGGCCCUUCCUGCUCUGCACGUGACAGCCGUGUAGAAGAUGGAAGAGGACAGAUGGCACUAUUCCAC